Molecule: long non-coding RNA, 243 nt
Organism: Cyprinus carpio (common carp)
Lineage: Eukaryota; Metazoa; Chordata; Actinopteri; Cypriniformes; Cyprinidae
Exons: 3
Source: RefSeq, a predicted model, not a curated record
GGGUAGAUAUAAAAAGCUUACUUCCACCCUCACAAACACAUUCAACGAAGACUCUCACAAAGAGAAGCAACGAUUUAACCAACUCAGUCACUCCAGACAGCAACUCAACUAAACGACUGAACGAUGGAACGCCUUGGACGCUAUAUUUUGCCUUCGGAUGCACUGGAGACAGACAUAAUUUACCCUGACAGUGCUGGCUUUGAUGAACCGGACUGCCCAGAUCAACUAGGCAUGGUGAGUUGC